GCCGGUGUGGUGGAACUGGUAGACACGCAGGAUUUAGGUUCCUGUGUCUUCGGACGUGCAGGUUCGAGUCCUGUCACCGGCACCC
Molecule: transfer RNA, 85 nt
Filed under: Aeromicrobium sp. PE09-221
Lineage: Bacteria; Bacillati; Actinomycetota; Actinomycetes; Propionibacteriales; Nocardioidaceae
Also listed under: 1 other name
Description: tRNA-Leu
Rfam family: tRNA
About the family: Transfer RNA (tRNA) molecules are approximately 80 nucleotides in length. Their secondary structure includes four short double-helical elements and three loops (D, anti-codon, and T loops). Further hydrogen bonds mediate the characteristic L-shaped molecular structure. tRNAs have two regions of fundamental functional importance: the anti-codon, which is responsible for specific mRNA codon recognition, and the 3' end, to which the tRNAs corresponding amino acid is attached (by aminoacyl-tRNA synthetases). tRNAs cope with the degeneracy of the genetic code in two manners: having more than one tRNA (with a specific anti-codon) for a particular amino acid; and 'wobble' base-pairing, i.e. permitting non-standard base-pairing at the 3rd anti-codon position.
Source: RNAcentral